CAGCAUGGAAGAAGCUUGCUUCUUCUGAUGGCGACCGGCGCACGGGUGCGUAACGCGUAUCAAACCUGCCUCAUACUCGGGGAUAGCCUUGCGAAAGUAAGAUUAAUACCCGAUGUUGUUAUGUUGCCACAUGGUGAUAUAACCAAAGAUUUAUCGGUAUGAGAUGGUGAUGCGUCCGAUUAGGUAGUAGGCGGGGUAACGGCCCACCUAGCCAUCGAUCGGUAGGGGUUCUGAGAGGAAGGUCCCCCACACUGGAACUGAGACACGGUCCAGACUCCUACGGGAGGCAGCAGUGAGGAAUAUUGGUCAAUGGACGAAAGUCUGAACCAGCCAAGUAGCGUGCAGGAUGACGGCCCUCUGGGUUGUAAACUGCUUUUAGUUGGGAAUAAAAAAGAGGACGUGUCCUCUAUUGUAUGUACCUUCAGAAAAAGGACCGGCUAAUUCCGUGCCAGCAGCCGCGGUAAUACGGAAGGUCCAGGCGUUAUCCGGAUUUAUUGGGUUUAAAGGGAGCGUAGGCGGAUUAUUAAGUCAGUGGUGAAAGACGGUGGCUCAACCAUCGUUAGCCAUUGAAACUGGUAGUCUUGAGUGCAGACAGGGAUGCUGGAACUCGUGGUGUAGCGGUGAAAUGCUUAGAUAUCACGAUGAACUCCGAUCGCGAAGGCAGGUGUCCGGGCUGCAACUGACGCUGAGGCUCGAAAGUGUGGGUAUCAAACAGGAUUAGAUACCCUGGUAAUCCACACAGUAAACGAUGUAUACUCGCGGUUUGCGAUAGACAAUAAGCCGCCAAGCGAAAGCAUUAAGU
Molecule: ribosomal RNA, 802 nt
Filed under: uncultured Prevotella sp.
Lineage: Bacteria; Pseudomonadati; Bacteroidota; Bacteroidia; Bacteroidales; Prevotellaceae
Description: bacterial SSU rRNA
Rfam family: Bacterial small subunit ribosomal RNA
Source: RNAcentral